Molecule: ribosomal RNA, 387 nt
Filed under: uncultured bacterium
Lineage: Bacteria
Description: bacterial SSU rRNA
Rfam family: Bacterial small subunit ribosomal RNA
Source: RNAcentral
AUUGAACGCUGGCGGCAUGCCUUACACAUGCAAGUCGAACGGCAGCACGGGAGCAAUCCUGGUGGCGAGUGGCGAACGGGUGAGUAAUACAUCGGAACGUGCCCAGUAGUGGGGGAUAACCCGGCGAAAGCCGGACUAAUACCGCAUACGACCUACGGGUGAAAGCAGGGGAUCGCAAGACCUUGCGCUAUCGGAGCGGCCGAUGUCAGAUUAGCUAGUUGGUGGGGUAAAAGCCCACCAAGGCGACGAUCUGUAGCUGGUCUGAGAGGACGACCAGCCACACUGGGACUGAGACACGGCCCAGACUCCUACGGGAGGCAGCAGUGGGGAAUUUUGGACAAUGGGCGCAAGCCUGAUCCAGCCAUGCCGCGUGCGGGAAGAAGGCCU